GUCAAGUGCUUGCCCGGAUACCGGAGGCCCUGCUUCCACCCCCAGUACAAUCCCCCUACAAAAUAAAAACGUGCAGAAGUGGUGCUGGCAAGUUUACCCCGCUGCUGUUACAUAACCAGGGAAUAGAUUGGAGGCAACACAAUCUCUGGCUCACAGUGUAACACCCGAGAGCAGAACUCCAAAGUCCCAGUCUCCAGUGCAGUGUGGGUUAGCGAGGAGACACUACAGGGAAAUCUGCCACGGAGGGCACUGUGUGCCCCAGAUGCAGGGGGUCUGUGCCGGGUACUCUCCAUGGGUCUCAGCACAGACUUCCAGGGCUUGCCGAGGCCCAACUCUACACAGGCAUGAAAGCCACAGACCGUGGGAGGAACUCUGCUUGGAGUUGUCAGUUUGAUCUCUUCUUGGCCUGGCAGUCUGUGGUUCUACAUCUCCUGCGGGUGCCGGGCUGUGCCAGUGAGCCACCGUUCCCAGCCAGCGCCAUGAGCAGUGGACCCCAGUCUGCUGCACUGCUGAGCAGCUCAAGCACUGACGGUCUUGACCCCAUCAUAUGA
This 551-nucleotide long non-coding RNA is filed under the name Fukomys damarensis (Damara mole-rat). RNAcentral describes it as "lncRNA (ENSFDAG00000031929.1)". The record is from RNAcentral. Lineage: Eukaryota; Metazoa; Chordata; Mammalia; Rodentia; Bathyergidae.